UAGAAUAGCACUUUGUGGUAAACCUAUAGCUGCGUUUCUAAAUAUUUAACUGUAUGUUCACAUUCAGGAUCUGAAGAUUCAGAAACUAAAAUGGAACGGGUUUCUAAGCUUGCGCUGGUACGAUGCAAUCCUAUCAUGGAAUGCCAGUGAGUAUGGAGACCUGGACUUCAUCACUGUGCCACAGUCGAAAAUAUGGCGUCCUGACUAUGUCAUCAACAAUGAUGUUUCUCAGAAAACGAGCCUGGGAACACCGGACACUCUCGUUUUCAUAGAAAGCAGUGGAUUAGUCACUUGGGAACCGGGAAUGGUUAGUGAAACAAGCUGCAAAAUUGACAUCAGGAAGUACCCCUUCGACACCCAG
Molecule: long non-coding RNA, 361 nt
Organism: Haliotis rubra (blacklip abalone)
Lineage: Eukaryota; Metazoa; Mollusca; Gastropoda; Lepetellida; Haliotidae
Exons: 3
Source: RefSeq, a predicted model, not a curated record